GAUGAACGCUGGCGGCGUGCCUAAUACAUGCAAGUCGAGCGAACGGAUAAGGAGCUUGCUCCUUUGAAGUUAGCGGCGGACGGGUGAGUAACACGUGGGUAACCUACCUAUAAGACUGGAAUAACUUCGGGAAACCGGAGCUAAUGCCGGAUAACAUUUGGAACUGCAUGGUUCUAAAGUAAAAGAUGGUUUUGCUAUCAUUUAUAGAUGGACCCGCGCCGGAUUAGCUAGUUGGUAAGGUAACGGCUUACCAAGGCGACGAUACGUAGCCGACCUGAGAGGGUGAUCGGCCACACUGGAACUGAGACACGGUCCAGACUCCUACGGGAGGCAGCAGUAGGGGAUCUUCCGCAAUGGGCGAAAGCCUGACGGAGCAACGCCGCGUGAGUGAUGAAGGUCUUCGGAUCGUAAAACUCUGUUGUUAGGGAAGAACAAAUUUGUUAGUAACUGAACAAGUCUUGACGGUACCUAACCAGAAAGCCACGGCUAACUACGUGCCAGCCGCCGCCGUAA
RNAcentral lists this ribosomal RNA (513 nucleotides) under uncultured bacterium. Its description in RNAcentral is "partial 16S ribosomal RNA". It matches the Rfam family "Bacterial small subunit ribosomal RNA", at positions 28 to 523 of the family's 1533-position model. The record is from RNAcentral.